RNAcentral lists this ribosomal RNA (253 nucleotides) under uncultured bacterium. Its description in RNAcentral is "partial 16S ribosomal RNA". It matches the Rfam family "Bacterial small subunit ribosomal RNA", at positions 524 to 776 of the family's 1533-position model. The record is from RNAcentral.
AACGUAGGUGGCAAGCGUUAUCCGGAUUUACUGGGCGUAAAGGGUGUGCAGGCGGGGUUGCAAGUGGGGUUUGAAAUCUCCCGGCUUAACCGGGAGGGGUUAUGCCAGACUGCAAUUCUAGAGGACGAGAGAGGGGGGUGGAAUUCCGGGUGUAGUGGUGAAAUGCGUAGAGAUCCGGAGGAACCCCAGAGGCGAAGGCGGCCCCCUGGCUCGUACCUGACGCUCAGACACGAAAGCAUGGGGAGCAAACGGG